UACUUAGUGGCAGACGGGUGAGUAACAUGUGGGUAUCUACCCUUUGGCCUGGAAUAACACGAGGAAACUUGUGCUAAUACCGGAUAAGUCCUUACGGAGAAAGCUUUAUGCACCAUUGGAUGAGCCCGCACUUGAUUAGUUUGUUGGUAGGGUAAUGGCCUACCAAGACUAUGAUCAAUAGCUGAUUUGAGAGGAUGAUCAGCCACAUUGGGACUGAGACACGGCCCAAACUCCUACGGGAGGCAGCAGUGGGGAAUCUUGCACAAUGGAGGAAACUCUGAUGCAGCGAUGCCGCGUGAGUGAAGAAGGCCUUUGGGUUGUAAAGCUCUUUCGUCGGGGAAGAAAAUGACUGUACCCGAAUAAGAAGGUCCGGCUAACUUCGUGCCAGCAGCCGCGGUAAUACGAAGGGACCUAGCGUAGUUCGGAAUUACUGGGCUUAAAGAGUUCGUA
Molecule: ribosomal RNA, 450 nt
Filed under: uncultured Pelagibacterales bacterium
Lineage: Bacteria; Pseudomonadati; Pseudomonadota; Alphaproteobacteria; Candidatus Pelagibacterales
Description: bacterial SSU rRNA
Rfam family: Bacterial small subunit ribosomal RNA
Source: RNAcentral